Enhydra lutris kenyoni (northern sea otter) is the source of this 1377-nucleotide long non-coding RNA. RefSeq lists it as uncharacterized. The record is from RefSeq and is a predicted model, not a curated record. Lineage: Eukaryota; Metazoa; Chordata; Mammalia; Carnivora; Mustelidae. The transcript is spliced from 4 exons.
AUAUUACUAUUAUUUCAUGUCCAAAUGGAAGGUAAGAAUUGGGACCCGUUAGCCUCUAUCCCUAAUGCUUAGCACAAGGCCUGACGCAUUGUAGAUCUUCUCAUUGGAGUGUCUUUCCUGAACAGUGGGGAUCCCCGUUUCCAGAACAGUUUGGAUCAGCUGUGAGGAACUGGGUUGCUUUCCCCAGACCACAGAUCAGAACCCCAUUGGCUGUUUUCCUUCCAUCACCAGUUAAAGUCUCUAUAUAUUACCAGUCGAAGACCUUGUCUUCCGGGUGAUUGAUUAGUCAUUCAAGUAAACAUGGGCUCCAAAGGCUAUAUCCCAAGUGAUUCUGUUCAGUUUUUUAUCCUGACCUUUCAAUUUCCUUUCCCCAAUUACGGAUAUCUCUUGGGGAAGACAUUAUUGCUCUUAUACUCAUUUUCGUGUGAAGUGUGUCAAGUCUGUGUGUCAUCUUCCCAACCUGAGGGGUCAGCUCCUUGAGAACGAGGUGCCUGCCGCCUGAUUCCUCGUUCCUCCCCUCGACCACAGCAGACGCGGAGUUCGUGUCUGCUAAUGGCUCAUUUCAUUCCAGUUCCGCAGCCAGACUAGCGAGUUCGAAGCCAUGAGCACAAUUUGCAAUUGUGUCCUGUGAGAUGGACGGGAACACGUGAUGCCAUUUGGGCCGGGACCACAAAUGACUCAAAUUCUGAAGCAGUUUGUUCUCCUGGUGGGAUUCCUAAAGUCUCCAGAAUGACAGCUCUUCGAGAACAGGAGCUCCCUCCCUCCUGGUCACCACGGCAUCCCUGUGGCCUGGCAAGGCCUGAAGGACAUGACGAGAGGAUCCAGGGUGAGCGCGAAUCAGGGCUGCAGAGGAAGGGGGUCUGCCGGGGCCAGACUGUGCAGAACAGGAGAAAUUAGAAGAGGAACCCAAGGCAGAGAGGUCAAGCUUUGUCCCCAAGAUCUCUUGGCGUCCCAGAGAGGGAAGCCCCUUUGACAACGACCGUCCUCACUCUGGAGCCGGGACGCGACUCCCGCGUGGAAAGGUUCACAAGGGACCAUCCCCCUGGGAGCACUGUUCUGGGAGCACUAUUCUGACCACAACAGGUGGCGCAAAGUGAGUCUGACAGGAGCUUCAUGGCUCGAGAAUCCUGGCAGGUGUACAGGUGUUCCCCAAGUGACAGGCGACACCUGGAGACCUGACGGAGUGCCAGGCCCCACAGGGAGAUGCCCUGCGAUCUAGGUCUUCAAAGGAACCCCAGCCCAAGCUUAAAUCCAUCAUGCCUGAGCAAACGUGUCCUUCUUGGGAAGUACCCGUUCUGUUUAAGUGCCUUCUAUAUGCAAAGUUUGUCCUUUUAGCUAUUUUGUUAAAUGUUCAUAAUGGAUAAACUUCGAAAACUG